UAUAUUUUCAUGGGCCUUACAUGAUUUAAGGUCAAGGGAGUUCGUAUACGUAUACAUAUAUAUAUUAUUUAAAAUUCUUUGAGUUCUCAUGUAGGACCCCAAUCUUCUGCACCAGCAUUUGGACAGUCAACUUUUGGGGCUCAACGUGGGGGAAGAAGAGUUGCUUCUUACACGCCUACAAUUGACGCUGAUAGUAGCAUUGGUACACAGAUGUUCGAGUCAAUUUCAGCUAUGCCUGUUUACAAAGAUAAAAGUCAUGAGGAGCUGAGAUGGGAGGAUUAUCAAUUAGGAGAUAAAGGUACCCUUGUAAAAUAUUAAGAAAACCUGGAAGUUAUUCAUUAUUCUUUCCCAUUCAUUAUCGACUAACUUGCUGUAAUAAUUUGACUGUCAGUUGGACUGCAGCCAACCGCUCAGCCUUCUGGAGAGAUUUGCUCUGGUGUGUCAACUGCACCUACAAGUCCUUGUGGCUCUUCUCCAACAUUUGGCCAAACAUCUGUAAAUCCUCAUUCCAUCACAAGUACCAAUCCAUUUGGUGUAUCUAAUUCCCCGGUAUUUGGAACAGUAGGCACAUUUGGAGCAUCAAGCGCACCAGCUUUUGGCACUUCUCUCACUCAUGCUUUUGGAGCAUCAAAUUCUGCUUUUGGCACUUCCAAGACUCCUGUUUUUGGAGUGUCAAAUUCUGCUUUUGGCUUUUCCGACACUCCUACUUUUGGAUCAUCUUCUACUCCUUCAUUCAGCUCUGGGUCUAGCCCUGCUUUUGGCCAAUCAACACCAGCAUUUGCCAGUAGUCCUUUUGGAACAACUACAAUUGGAGCACAGAGUUCUUUUGGUGAGUAACCAAGCCUACUUGAUCAUAGACUUCGAAACUACUUGUACAGUUAGGCAGAAAUAUAUAUUUUCAUGGGCCUUACAUGAUUUAAGGUCAAGGGAGUUCGUAUACGUAUACAUAUAUAUAUAUUAUUUAAAAUUCUUUGAGUUCUCAUGUAGGACCCCAAUCUUCUGCACCAGCAUUUGGACAGUCAACUUUUGGGGCUCAACGUGGGGGAAGAAGAGUUGCUUCUUACACACCUACAAUUGACGCUGAUAGUAGCAUUGGUACACAGAUGUUCGAGUCAAUUUCAGCUAUGCCUGUUUACAAAGAUAAAAGUCAUGAGGAGCUGAGAUGGGAGGAUUAUCAAUUAGGAGAUAAA
This 1190-nucleotide long non-coding RNA is filed under the name Gossypium barbadense (sea-island cotton). Its description in RNAcentral is "long non-coding RNA (GBAR_LNC022064)". Lineage: Eukaryota; Viridiplantae; Streptophyta; Magnoliopsida; Malvales; Malvaceae. The record is from RNAcentral.